This 364-nucleotide ribosomal RNA is filed under the name Russula sp. 336-328. RNAcentral describes it as "eukaryotic LSU rRNA". The stretch from base 1 to 105 matches the Rfam family "5.8S ribosomal RNA", at positions 50 to 154 of the family's 154-position model. The record is from RNAcentral. Lineage: Eukaryota; Fungi; Basidiomycota; Agaricomycetes; Russulales; Russulaceae.
GAAAUGCGAUACGUAAUGUGAAUUGCAGAAUUCAGUGAAUCAUCGAAUCUUUGAACGCACCUUGUGCCCCUUGGUAUUCCGAGGGGCACACCCGUUUGAGUGUCGUGAACACCCUCAACCUUCUUGGUUUUUCGAUCGGGAAGGCUUGGACUUUGGAGGUUUUCCUUUGCUGGCCUUCCUUUGAAGCCAGCUCCUCCUAAACGAAUUAGUGGGGUCCGCUUUGCCGAUCCUUGACGUGAUAAGUAUGCUUCUACGUCUUGAGUUUCGCACCGUGUUGGCCUGGAACCUGCUUCCAACAGUCUUCGUUUCGAAGACGAUCUUCGACCUUGACCUCAAAUCGGGUGAGACUACCCGCUGAACUUAA